Molecule: long non-coding RNA, 1385 nt
Filed under: Gallus gallus (chicken)
Lineage: Eukaryota; Metazoa; Chordata; Aves; Galliformes; Phasianidae
Source: RNAcentral
CUGGGGAGGUGGUCGUGGUGGUGGUGGUGGGGGGGAGGGGGGGGGUUGAGGGGGGGACACACCUGGGGGGCUGCACCCCACAUCCAGGCAGUGCCACCGCGCUCCCACGUGCGGCUGCGCCGGGCGGCUGCUUGUGCCCAACCGGCAGCACCGGGGCAGCGCCUCCCCCCCCCACCCCCCCCGCUCCAACAACCCUCGGACCCCCCCCCCCCACCCCUCCUCUCCACCUCCCCGGGCCAUGUUGGGGGGCGCGGAGAGGGGAGUGGGGCGCCUGAGGAUCUGCGAGCGGACCCAAAUGCUGCUGGUGGAGAUCAGGGCGGUGACGCCGUGUUGCAGCCCGACCGCCGCGAUGGCCGCAGGGUGCCGACCCGCGUCCCCGUGGGGCUAUCAGCGCUUCGCCGGGGCGUACACGUUCCUGGAGAAGCGCAUCGUGGCGGAGCUGACCCCCCCCCGGCCCCGCGUUGUCCCCCCCCCAGGACUUCACUUCCCACCCCUCCCGGCUCCGUCCCCUCCCCGUGGAACCGCACUACGGCCCCCCCCCGGAGCGGCACCCACCGGGGGGUCCCCUCUGCGCCCCAUUAACGGCAGCCAGGCCGGGCCCCCCCAGCUACGAGACCCACAUGCGGAGAGCGCGGGCGGCCCACCUGCGCCGGGGGGGCCGCCCCCAUACGUCUCCCCCCCCGCCUACAACGCUCCGCACCGCACCCUGCGCCCCCCCCCGGCCCAGAGGCCGCGCAGCCCCCUCCCCAAACCCCGCGGCCGUGGGGCUGUGCCGGGGGCUGCAGCCAUACGCUGCCCCGCGCCGCCACCGAGGGGGGGUCCCGAUGGCUCCGUGGGAUGCAGCCCCCCCCGGGAAUAACGGAACCCCCCCGGCACUGCCAGACCCUUCCCCGCACCGCAGCCCCCCGCCACAGACCCGUAGGGCCCAAUGGGGGCCGGCGGGGGUCGGGGGGGCACGUCCUCAUCGACGCCACGCGCGUGGUGGUCCGGGCUCAGUACGUGCCCCCCCCGCAGCGACACCACGUGCGUUACGCCGGGGGGGUCUCCGUGCCCGCCACCCCCCCGGGAACCCCCCCCGCACCCCACGGAGCCUCCACCCCCCCCUCAGCUCUCUCACCCCCCGCGGCUCCGAGCAGAGCCCGGGGAAGGGUGGGGGGUCCCGGGGGCGGCCCCCCCCUCGGCGGCCGGCCCUAUACAGCCAGGCGCUGCGGGAGGCGGUGUCCCGGAUCCGACGGCACACGGCGCCCGACUCCGACUCCGAUGCCGAGGGGGGGGCCGGGGGGGGGCGGCAGCGGCCGUGCCGCGAUGUCAGCGCCUACAGCAGCAGCAGCAGCCUGGAGAGCCUGGGGGGGGCCCCCCCGGGGACGGCCAGCCCCAUCCGGGCG